This 492-nucleotide ribosomal RNA is filed under the name uncultured bacterium. RNAcentral's name for it is "partial 16S ribosomal RNA". It matches the Rfam family "Bacterial small subunit ribosomal RNA", at positions 29 to 507 of the family's 1533-position model. The record is from RNAcentral.
AGUGAACGCUGGCGGCAGGCCUAAUACAUGCAAGUCGAACGGCAGCAAAGUAAGAGCUUGGUCUUACGGGUGGCGAGUGGCGUACGGGAGAGGAAUACAUCGGAAUCUACUUUAUCGUGGGGGAUAACGGAGGGAAACACACGUUAAUACCGCAUACUACCUACGGGUGAAAGCAGGAGUACUUCGGAACUUGCCCGAUUGAUUGACUCGUUGUCGGAUUGUCUGUUUGGCGGGGAAAAGGCCAACCAAGCCAAGGAGCCGUAGCUGGUCUGAGAGGAGGAGCAGACACACUGGAAUUGAGCCGCGGCCCAGCCUCCAACGGGAGGCAGCGGAGGGGAAUAUUGGACUAUGGGCGCAAGGCUGAUCCAGCCAUACCGCGUGGGUGAAGAAGGCCUUCGGGUUGUAAAGCCCUGUUGUUGGGAAAGAAAAGCAGCAUGUUAAUACCCCGCUGUUCUGACGGUACCCAAAGAAUAAGCACCGGCUAACUUCGUG